UCAGGAUGAACGCUGGCGGCACGCCUAACACAUGCAAGUCGAACGGAGUUUAUGGGAGCUUGCUCCUAUAAACUUAGUGGCGGACGGGUGAGUAACACGUGAGCAACCUGCCUUUCAGAGAGGAAUAGCUUCUGGAAACGGAUGGUAAUACCUCAUAACAUAUUGAUACGGCAUCGUAUUGAUAUCAAAGAUUUAUCGCUGAAAGAUGGGCUCGCGUCUGAUUAGCUAGUUGGUGAGGUAACGGCUCACCAAGGCAACGAUCAGUAGCCGGACUGAGAGGUUGAACGGCCACAUUGGGACUGAGACACGGCCCAGACUCCUACGGGAGGCAGCAGUGGGGAAUAUUGCACAAUGGGCGCAAGCCUGAAUGCAGCGAUGCUGCGUGAGGGAAGAAGGUUUUCGGAUUGUAAACCUCUGUCAUCGGGGACGAAAAUGACGGUACCCGAGAAGGAAGCUCCGGCUAACUACGUGCCAGCCGCGGC
RNAcentral lists this ribosomal RNA (482 nucleotides) under uncultured bacterium. Its description in RNAcentral is "bacterial SSU rRNA". It matches the Rfam family "Bacterial small subunit ribosomal RNA", at positions 24 to 518 of the family's 1533-position model. The record is from RNAcentral.